CUUGUAGGUGGUCUGGUAAGUUGGACGUGAAAACUCCGGGCUUAACUUGGAGAGGCCGUUCAAUACUGCGAGACUGGAGGAUGUCAGAGGGGAGUGGAAUUCCUGGUGUAGCAGUGAAAUGCGUAGAUAUCAGGAGGAACACCCGUGGCGAAGGCGGCUCCCUGGGGCAUCCCUGACACUGAGAAGCGAAAGCUAGGGGAGCAAACGGGAUUAGAAACCCCGGUAGUCCUAGCCGUAAACGAUGGGUGCUGGGUGUGCGCGGAUCUAACCCCGCGCGUGCCGAAGCUAACGCGUUAAGCACCCCGCCUGGGAACUACGAGCGCAAGCUUAAA
RNAcentral lists this ribosomal RNA (332 nucleotides) under uncultured bacterium. RNAcentral's name for it is "bacterial SSU rRNA". It matches the Rfam family "Bacterial small subunit ribosomal RNA", at positions 568 to 898 of the family's 1533-position model. The record is from RNAcentral.